This 148-nucleotide non-coding RNA is filed under the name Pan troglodytes (chimpanzee). The record is from Rfam by way of RNAcentral. Lineage: Eukaryota; Metazoa; Chordata; Mammalia; Primates; Hominidae.
GCCGGGCGUGGUGGCGGGUGCCUGUAGUCCCAGCUACUUGGGAGGCUGAGGCAGGAGAAUCACUUGAACCCGGGAGGUGGAGCUUGCAGUGAGCCGAGAUGGCGCCACUGCACUCCAGCCUGGGUGACAGAGAGAGACUCUGUCUCAA